This 468-nucleotide ribosomal RNA is filed under the name uncultured bacterium. Its description in RNAcentral is "partial 16S ribosomal RNA". It matches the Rfam family "Bacterial small subunit ribosomal RNA", at positions 28 to 507 of the family's 1533-position model. The record is from RNAcentral.
GACGAACGCUGGCGGCGUGCUUAACACAUGCAAGUCGAACGGAAAGGCCCUGCUUUUGUGGGGUGCUCGAGUGGCGAACGGGUGAGUAGCACGUGAGUAACCUGCCCUUGACUUUGGGAUAACUUCAGGAAACUGGGGCUAAUACCGGAUAGGAGCUCCUGCUGCAUGGUGGGGGUUGGAAAGUUUCGGCGGUUGGGGAUGGACUCGCGGCUUAUCAGCUUGUUGGUGGGGUAGUGGCUUACCAAGGCUUUGACGGGUAGCCGGCCUGAGAGGGUGACCGGCCACAUUGGGACUGAGAGACGGCCCAGACUCCUACGGGAGGCAGCAGUGGGGAAUAUUGCACAAUGGGCGGAAGCCUGAUGCAGCAACGCCGCGUGCGGGAUGACGGCCUUCGGGUUGUAAACCGAUUUCGCCUGUGACGAAGCGUGAGUGACGGUAAUGGGUAAAGAAGCACCGGCUAACUACGUG